ACGGCUCAGUAACACGUAGUCAACAUGCCCAGGGGACGUGGAUAACCUCGGGAAACUGAGGAUAAACCACGAUAAGUCACUACUUCUGGAAUGGGUAAUGACUCAAAUCUAUAUGGCCCCUGGAUUGGACUGCGGCCGAUCAGGCUGUUGGUGAGGUAAUGGCCCACCAAACCUGUAACCGGUACGGGCUCUGAGAGGAGGAGCCCGGAGAUGGGCACUGAGACAAGGGCCCAGGCCCUAUGGGGCGCAGCAGGCGCGAAACCUCUGCAAUAGGCGAAAGCUUGACAGGGUUACUCUGAGUGAUUUCCGUUAAGGAGAUCUUUUGGCAUCUCUAAAAAUGAUGCAGAAUAAGGGGUGGGCAAGUCUGGUGUCAGCCGCCGCGGUAAUACCAGCACCCCGAGUGGUCGGGACGUUUAUUGGGCCUAAAUCAUCCGUAGCCGGUUCUACAAGUCUUCCGUUAAAUCCAACUGCUUAACAGGUGGGCUGCGGAAGAUACUAUAGAGCUAGGAGGCGGGAGAGGCAAGCGGUACUCGAUGGGUAGGGGUAAAAUCCGUUGAUCCAUUGAAGACCACCAGUGGCGAAGGCGGCUUGCCAGAACGCGCUCGACGGUGAGGGAUGAAAGCUGGGGGAGCAAACCGGAUUAGAUACCCGGGUAGUCCCAGCUGUAAACGAUGCAGACUCGGUGAUGAGUUGGCUAUAUGCCAACUCAGUGCCGCAGGGAAGCCGUUAAGUUUGCCGCCUGGGGAGUACGGUCGCAAGACUGAAACUUAAAGGAAUUGGCGGGGGAG
Molecule: ribosomal RNA, 788 nt
Filed under: uncultured archaeon
Lineage: Archaea
Description: bacterial SSU rRNA
Rfam family: Archaeal small subunit ribosomal RNA
Source: RNAcentral